Molecule: ribosomal RNA, 253 nt
Filed under: uncultured bacterium
Lineage: Bacteria
Description: partial 16S ribosomal RNA
Rfam family: Bacterial small subunit ribosomal RNA
Source: RNAcentral
UACGGAGGGUGCAAGCGUUGUUCGGAAUUAUUGGGCGUAAAGAGAACGUAGGCGGAUUUGUAUGUCGAUUGUGAAAGCCCAGGGCUCAACCUUGGAAUUGCAGUCGAAACUGCGGAUCUUGAAUACUUGAGAGGGUGGGGGAAUUCCUGGUGGAGAAGUGAAAUUCGUAGAGAUCAGGAGGAACAUCGGAGGCGAAGGCGCCUGCCUGGCAAUGUAUUGACGCUGAGGUUCGAAAGCGUGGGGAGCAAACAGG